GAGGAAGAGAAACCAACAGGGAUUGCCUCAGUAGCGGCGAGCGAAGCGGCAACAGCCCAGAUUUGAAAUCUGUCCCCGCACGGGGUCCGACUUGUAAUCUGCAAGAUGGGUCUUCCCGGGGGCGCGCGCGCCGUCCAAGUGAUCCUGGAACGGUCUGCCGUAGAGGGUGAGAGCCCCGUACGGCGGCGCCGCGUCUCCUCCAGCGAAGCCCAUUCGGAGAGUCGAGCAGUUUGGGAAUGCUGCUCUAAAGGGAGGUAAAUCCCUUCCAAGGCUAAAUACCUGCCGGAGACCGAUAGCGCAGAAGUAGCGCGAGCGAAAGGUGAAUAGAACUCUGAAAAGAGAGUUAAAGCAUGUGAAAUCGUUGAAGGGGAAGCGGUUUCGACCAGACUCGCGCCGGUCGGUCACCCAGCGGUCACGCUGGGGCACUCUGCCGGCGCGGGCCAGCAUCGGCUGGCGGCGGGGUCAAAGGCCCUGGGAACGUGGCUCUUCGGAGUGUUACAGCCCAGGGCGCAAUGCCCCGUCGCCGGCCGAGGAAUCU
Molecule: ribosomal RNA, 538 nt
Filed under: Bactrodesmiastrum pyriforme
Lineage: Eukaryota; Fungi; Ascomycota; Sordariomycetes; Fuscosporellales; Fuscosporellaceae
Description: eukaryotic LSU rRNA
Rfam family: Eukaryotic large subunit ribosomal RNA
Source: RNAcentral